AUCAUCGCCAACAAACGGGCUCAGCUGCUGUGAUUUCCCCCUCCCUCGUCCAUUCUCCUCUCUCUCCUUUAAUAUAGACUCCGUCGGCAGAAAGGAUUUGAUUCUCGCACCAAAAAAAAUGGAAAUAUCAGAAGAAAUGUCUUUGAAUGAGCUACCAGAAGGGUGCAUAGCUACUGCACUGUCGUUUACAACUCCUCAGGACGUUGGCCGGCUCUCGGUUGUCUCUCCCAUGUUCAUGUUGGCCGCCGUAUCCGAUGUUGUUUGGGAGAGGUUCCUUCCUAGAGAUCUUGAAUCUAUUCUAUCCACCUCCCCUGAUGGUUCUCGCCUGAUGGCAUCUGCGGCUUCCAAAAAGGAACUGUAUUUUAGCCUCUGUGAGAAUCCAGUGCUUGUUGGUAAUGGGAGAAAGAGCUUUUCAUUGGAAAAAAAGAGUGGGAAGAAAUGUUACAGGCUUUCUGCAAGGGACCUCUUGAUUACAUGGGGUGAUUCUCCUGAGUAUUGGACAUGGAAUUCUGACCCCACAUCUAGAUUUCCAGAAGUAGCUGAGCUUAUUUCGGUGUGCUGGCUUGAAAUCAGUGGCAAAAUCAAUACUAGCAUGCUAUCACCCGCAACGUUGUACACAGCAUACCUUGUGUUAAAGCUUUCCAUAGACAUUCACAAUUAUGGAUUGGAUGACCAGCCAGUUGCGGUUGCAAUGAAACUGGAUGGAGAAGAAAGUUAUACACGGACUGUUAGCUGGAGUGCAGAAAGAAGGCGGGGGCAGGUACCCCGUAAUGUAAGACGGUCGUUUUCUUUAUUUAGCUUUAGCCGCAGUAGAUCUGUAUCCACUGGAGAAAGUGAUGGACAUUAUCCACAGGAAAGAGGAGAUGGGUGGUUGGAGAUUGAAUUAGGUGAGUUCUUUACCAAGGAAGGGAAAGAUGGAGAGCUGGGAAUUAGAGUUUUUGAUGGCACUACUCAUUGGAAACGUGGGCUGAUUGUUGAAGGGAUCGAGAUUAGACCAAAACAGGGUAACUAGAUGAGCAACUGUUUUCAUAUUCUAGUAAUCAUGUCUACUUUUUUCACAUCUGUAGUGCGUAGAUUAAGGUUGGUAUCUUGAUUGCAUCACUAUCAAGAGCCUUUGCAGCUGGUCUAGUGCGCACACAGCUAUGUGCAAGAGGAGCUAGUCCAAGCAGUUAAAGAUGCACAGGAAAUGGACUUCUUCAUCUGAAGUGGCAUGUUUAAUACCAGAAGCCGACAAAGUUUCCAACCAUACUGUUGAUGCUGAAACUAGAACACAAAGGGAGCAAAAUUGUAUUGUUGAAACAAUGUUAUCUGUUGUCUGUAUUCAAAACUAUCCAGUGUGUAUGUAGUUUAAAUCCAAAAGGUAUUAAAUCGAAUGGGGCAUUGCUUUGCUGGGAUCUUUGUAGUCUAGCUGAGGUUUCAAACACAAUCUUUUUUUCACAGAACGCAAUCUAGUGAAUUCAAAUAAAAAGAAGUUACUAUAUACUUAUGCUA
RNA transcript from Populus trichocarpa (black cottonwood), 1491 nucleotides. It is a transcript of the gene named putative F-box protein PP2-B12, with no coding region annotated. NCBI's taxonomy places the organism in Eukaryota, Viridiplantae, Streptophyta, Magnoliopsida, Malpighiales, Salicaceae. The record is from RefSeq and is a predicted model, not a curated record. The transcript is spliced from 4 exons.